AAGUCGUAACAAGGUUUCCGUAGGUGAACCUGCGGAAGGAUCAUUAUUGAAUAAACUUGGUGGAUUGUUGCUGGCUCCUUUCAUGAGCAAGUGCACGUCUGUCAUUUUUAUCUUUCCAACAUGUGCACUAUGCAUAGAUCUGAGUAUUUAUUUGACCAAAGUCAUCUUUGGUUUUUUGGAAAUUGCCAUUGCAAUAAUGGCUUUUUCUGUAUUCAGAUUCUAUGAAUUUUAUAUACUCCAAUGUAUGUUUAUGAAUGCUAUUGUGAAGGGCUUUUAUAGCCUAUUAAAUUUAUACAACUUUCAGCAACGGAUCUCUUGGCUCUC
RNAcentral lists this unclassified non-coding RNA (324 nucleotides) under fungal sp. RNAcentral's name for it is "partial internal transcribed spacer region". The stretch from base 1 to 46 matches the Rfam family "Eukaryotic small subunit ribosomal RNA", at positions 1786 to 1831 of the family's 1831-position model. Lineage: Eukaryota; Fungi. The record is from RNAcentral.